AACAAACGCUGGAGGCAUGCUUAACACAUGCAAGUCGCACGAGAAAGCUUCCUUCGGGGAGCGAGUAAAGUGGCGAACGGGUGAGUAAUACGUAAGAACCUGCCCUUUGGACUGGGAUAACAUCGCGAAAGCGAUGCUAAUACCGGAUGAUGUCUACGGACUAAAGGGGGCUUCGGCUUCCACCUAAGGAGGGGCUUGCGUCCCAUUAGCUAGUUGGUGAGGUAAUGGCUCACCAAGGCAAUGAUGGGUAGCCGUCCUGAGAGGGUGUACGGCCACACUGGAACUGAGACACGGUCCAGACUCCUACGGGAGGCUG
This 316-nucleotide ribosomal RNA is filed under the name uncultured bacterium. RNAcentral describes it as "bacterial SSU rRNA". It matches the Rfam family "Bacterial small subunit ribosomal RNA", at positions 29 to 351 of the family's 1533-position model. The record is from RNAcentral.